CGGCGAACGGGUGAGUAACGCGUGGGUGAUCUACCUUCGAGUGGGGAAUAACACCGGGAAACUGGUGCUAAUACCGCAUGACAUCCUCGGUUCGUUCCGAGGAUCAAAGCCGGGGACCGUAAGGCCUGGCGCUUGAAGAGGAGCCCGCGUCCGAUUAGCUUGUUGGCGGGGUAAUGGCCCACCAAGGCUUCUAUCGGUAGCCGGCCUGAGAGGGCGGACGGCCACACUGGGACUGAGACACGGCCCAG
This 248-nucleotide ribosomal RNA is filed under the name uncultured bacterium. RNAcentral's name for it is "partial 16S ribosomal RNA". It matches the Rfam family "Bacterial small subunit ribosomal RNA", at positions 96 to 334 of the family's 1533-position model. The record is from RNAcentral.